GUCUAUGGUUGUACCACCCUGAAUGCACCUGAUCUCGGAAGCUAAGCAGGAUUGGGCCUGGUUAGUACUUGAAUGGGAGAAUGCCUGGGAAUACUGGGUGCUGUAGCAU
Molecule: ribosomal RNA, 109 nt
Filed under: Callithrix jacchus (white-tufted-ear marmoset)
Lineage: Eukaryota; Metazoa; Chordata; Mammalia; Primates; Cebidae
Source: RNAcentral